CAGCAGCCGCGGUAAUACGAAGGGGGCUAGCGUUGCUCGGAAUAACUGGGCGUAAAGGGCGCGUAGGCGGCGAUCAAAGUCAGGCGUGAAAUUCCUGGGCUCAACCUGGGGGCUGCGUUUGAUACUUGAUUGCUAGAGUGGGGAAGAGGGUCGUGGAAUUCCCAGUGUAGGGGUGAAAUUCGUAGAUAUUGGGAAGAACACCGGUGGCGAAGGCGGCGACCUGGUCCUUGACUGACGCUGAGGCGCGAAAGCGUGGGGAUCAAACAGGAUUAGAUACCCCCGUAGUCCCUGUCUCUUAUAC
This 301-nucleotide ribosomal RNA is filed under the name uncultured bacterium. RNAcentral's name for it is "partial 16S ribosomal RNA". It matches the Rfam family "Bacterial small subunit ribosomal RNA", at positions 509 to 807 of the family's 1533-position model. The record is from RNAcentral.